Acanthopagrus latus (yellowfin seabream) is the source of this 1061-nucleotide long non-coding RNA. RefSeq lists it as uncharacterized. NCBI's taxonomy places the organism in Eukaryota, Metazoa, Chordata, Actinopteri, Spariformes, Sparidae. The transcript is spliced from 3 exons. The record is from RefSeq and is a predicted model, not a curated record.
AAUUACGCAGCUGCAGCAGUUGAAACUCCUCUUCCUCUUGUCUUGUUUUCAGGAUUGGAUGGACCCAGUAUCUAAGUGAACAAACACAAACCACGGAGCAUGUUUCUUUUGAGAAUCAAAGAGAGGAGAACUACUCAAGCUGAGGAUUCCCUUUAAGCAGCAGAGAUGACUUUCUCCAACACGUUAAACACAAAUAACAGCAUGGAUGAUGGGCUGGGAUUCAUUGUCUGUGCUCAGGGAGGAGUGCAGGAUAUGACUGGUGUGAUAAAUGAUCGUGCCUGGAGCCUGGCGUGACAAAGGAACUGCGGUACAAUCUGCAUGUGCUCCAUCCUUUCGCCAUCAUUAGGUGUAAUUGGGACUCAUGGCGAGGCGUGUUCCUUUUUCUGCUGUGGAAGUAUCGGCGAAUGAAGCUGCAACUCCUAAUAGGACAAGCUAGAGAAGGGAGACACGUCCAGGCCACUGCUACAGCACUGAGAGCAUGUCCCAGUAUCACAGCGCUGGCCUAAAUGAAAGCUCAACAGAUAUGUGCUUGUGUCAAAUCGCCUUAACUCUAAUGUCAGGUUGACUCUAUUUGUCAUGUCAAACUAAGGUUUUUGAUGUUGACCUUCAAAGGUGCACACACAGGGGGUGUUACUGGCACCUGCCUGAGAAGGAUGGAGCAUGUUCUUUCACUCGUGUGCAAAAAAAAAAACACAACACCCAGUGAAGCACUGAUUACACUGCUGCUCAUUAGCUAUAAUGGGGAUGCAUGUGGAAUUUACAGCAUUGUGUAACGAGGUUAAAACAGGCUCAUGAAUCCUAGCAUUCUCAGCACGGCACUAUUAUUCAUCAUUACGACAAGAAUAUCCAAACAACGCAGCUGAGCAUAUACAGUAAGUCGGGACUAAACUGGCAGAGUAAUAAUAAAUGUGGAGUGGUAAAUGAGCGCGCAAGUUGGCCCUGUUUGUCAACCAAACAGUCCAAAAACCCCCACAUGCUCUCUUCAAGUUCUAGCAGGUACACAAAGUCUUUGUUUCAUGACCUCAGUCUGUGUAUCCUUUCCCCUCCACUCGAAUCAAAGC